GCCUAAAGUCAUACUACCCUGAACACUCCCGAACUUGUCUGAUCUUGAAAGCUAAGCAGGGUCAGGCCUGGUUACUACUUGGAUGGGAGACCACCUGAGAAUAUAGGAUGUUGUAGGCU
RNAcentral lists this ribosomal RNA (119 nucleotides) under Varanus komodoensis (Komodo dragon). Lineage: Eukaryota; Metazoa; Chordata; Lepidosauria; Squamata; Varanidae. The record is from RNAcentral.